RNAcentral lists this ribosomal RNA (467 nucleotides) under uncultured bacterium. RNAcentral's name for it is "partial 16S ribosomal RNA". It matches the Rfam family "Bacterial small subunit ribosomal RNA", at positions 28 to 506 of the family's 1533-position model. The record is from RNAcentral.
GACGAACGCUGGCGGCGUGCUUAACACAUGCAAGUCGAACGGAAAGGCCCUGCUUUUGUGGGGUGCUCGAGUGGCGAACGGGUGAGUAACACGUGAGUAACCUGCCCUUGACUUUGGGAUAACUUCAGGAAACUGGGGCUAAUACCGGAUAGGAGCUCCUGCUGCAUGGUGGGGGUUGGAAAGUUUCGGCGGUUGGGGAUGGACUCGCGGCUUAUCAGCUUGUUGGUGGGGUAGUGGCUUACCAAGGCUUUGACGGGUAGCCGGCCUGAGAGGGUGACCGGCCACAUUGGGACGGAGAUACGGCCCAGACUCCUACGGGAGGCAGCAGUGGGGAAUAUUGCACAAUGGGCGGAAGCCUGAUGCAGCAACGCCGCGUGCGGGAUGACGGCCUUCGGGUUGUAAACCGCUUUCGCCUGUGACGAAGCGUGAGUGACGGUAAUGGGGAAAGAAGCACCGGCUAACUACGU